GGAAACUCACCAGGUCCAGACACAAUAAGGAUUGACAGAUUGAUAGCUCUUUCUUGAUCUUGUGGUUGGUGGUGCAUGGCCGUUCUUAGUUGGUGGAGUGAUUUGUCUGGUUAAUUCCGAUAACGAACGAGACCUUAACCUGCUAAAUAGCCCGGUCGGCUUUGGCUGGCCGCUGGCUUCUUAGAGGGACUAUCGGCGUUUAGCCGAUGGAAGUUUGAGGCAAUAACAGGUCUGUGAUGCCCUUAGAUGUUCUGGGCCGCACGCGCGCUACACUGACAAAGCCAGCGAGUUAUCACCUUUACCGGAAGGUACGGGUAAUCUUGUGAAACUUUGUCGUGAUGGGGAUAGAGCAUUGCAAUUAUUGCUCUUCAACGAGGAAUACCUAGUAAGCGUGAGUCAUCAGCUCGCGUUGAUUACGUCCCUGCCCUUUGUACACACCGCCCGUCGCUACUACCGAUUGAAUGGCUUAGUGAGGCCUUCUGACUGGCCGCCGGGACCCAGCAAUGGGACCUGGUGGCUGGGACGUUGAACGAACUUGGUCAUUUAGAGGAAGUAA
This 556-nucleotide ribosomal RNA is filed under the name uncultured eukaryote. Its description in RNAcentral is "SSU rRNA". It matches the Rfam family "Eukaryotic small subunit ribosomal RNA", at positions 1209 to 1785 of the family's 1831-position model. The record is from RNAcentral.